GGUGCGUUAAUGGGCGUCGAGCGGCGGACGGGUGAGUAAUGCCUAGGAAAUUGCCUUGAUGUGGGGGAUAACCAUUGGAAACGAUGGCUAAUACCGCAUAAUGCCUACGGGCCAAAGAGGGGGACCUUCGGGCCUCUCGCGUCAAGAUAUGCCUAGGUGGGAUUAGCUAGUUGGUGAGGUAAUGGCUCACCAAGGCGACGAUCCCUAGCUGGUCUGAGAGGAUGAUCAGCCACACUGGAACUGAGACACGGUCCAGACUCCUACGGGAGGCAGCAGUGGGGAAUAUUGCACAAUGGGCGAAAGCCUGAUGCAGCCAUGCCGCGUGUAUGAAGAAGGCCUUCGGGUUGUAAAGUACUUUCAGUUGUGAGGAAGGGGGUNNNGUUAAUAGCNCNAUCUCUUGACGUUAGCAACAGAAGAAGCACCGGCUAACUCCGUGCCAGCAGCCGCGGUAAUACGGAGGGUGCGAGCGUUAAUCGGAAUUACUGGGCGUAAAGCGCAUGCAGGUGGUUCAUUAAGUCAGAUGUGAAAGCCCGGGGCUCAACCUCGGAACUGCAUUUGAAACUGGUGAACUAGAGUACUGUAGAGGGGGGUAGAAUUUCANGUGUAGCGGUGAAAUGCGUAGAGAUCUGAAGGAAUACCAGUGGCGAANGGCGGCCCCCUGGACAGAUACUGACACUCANAUGCGAAAGCGUGGGGAGCAAACNNNAUUANAUACCCUGGUAGU
This 724-nucleotide ribosomal RNA is filed under the name Vibrio sp. N16. RNAcentral describes it as "bacterial SSU rRNA". It matches the Rfam family "Bacterial small subunit ribosomal RNA", at positions 72 to 794 of the family's 1533-position model. The record is from RNAcentral. Lineage: Bacteria; Pseudomonadati; Pseudomonadota; Gammaproteobacteria; Vibrionales; Vibrionaceae.